ACUUCCGCCGAGAGCUCGGAGCUCGGGUUUGCCUGGCCGCCCCCAAGAUCCCCUUUCCCACCCACCCACGGCUGCGUUGGCUUCGGGGCUCCGGGGAAACCCUCCCGCCUGCUGCUGACGUCGCUGCCGGGGCCGGGCCAAGGUUCCGGGCGGACCUCGCAGGCACAGUUUCCACAGAGAGCAACGUCAACACAGGUACGGAGACUGACGGACCAGAGGGAGUUAGCUCCAGCAGUUGUGGGCGCUGGCAAGUCCAAAAUCUGCAGGGCAGGCUGGCAGGCAGGAGACCCAGGGGAGAGCAAGUGUUGCAGCUCAAGAUAUCCUGAAAGUUGGAAUGAUCAAAUGACCUCUAAGAGUCUCCCAGCUCUAAAAUUCAAUGGUUUAAGUGUUGUUUAAAAGCUUCCUUCUAUUUAGCUAAAAUGUCCUCCCCAGUGGACACCGCAGUGUUGGGACCAGCUGUGACCUGCUGGGACUGUCUAGUUCACACGAUUCCUACAGUAGAAGAGUCCAGAAAAGGGAGAUGUUACCCAAGGUAAGGCUCAGACUCAGCGAGAGGCCAGCCUGACGCUGGAACUUCCCUUUGAAGGAGGUUAGUCACUCAGGGCUUCAUUCUGGAGCACAGAUGCCAAUCAAAUGACAGGACCGGAUAUUUGGGAAUUGACUAUAGCCCAGUACAAGGAAGGCUUUUCCUUUAAACAAUGGCAUUUGCCAAGAAAAAAUAAAAUGCCACAUAAGACUUUUCUCUCGGGAAAUAAAAAUAGCCUUGGGCAUGACUGAGACACUGGUCACCCUGAGCCACGUCUGUAACAGGUUCAGAGAGUGUCUCCCAAGUUAGAGCUCUGGGUGUUGGCUGCCUUUUCCUGGAGGGCUCAUCCAGGCACCACCGUAAGGCUGGUCUCCAGAACCUACCACUUCAGCCUGCUGCUGGCCGUUUAGUAACACAUACGUGUUAACCGAGGACCCCCUCCCCGGAAAUUGUCUUAAAGAAGAAACCCAGGAAGAACAGCAUUCCAACAGGUGUGCUCUCCUCUAGCCGCUGAGCCCACCUGCAGGCAAACAGGAAGGGCCUCAGGAUUAGUCUCCUUUGAAGGGCGGAGCUGAAAGGAGAGUAUAAAAUCGGGAAAGUUUUAAUACUCUCCUGCAGGAUCGGAGGCCCAGGUCUCCAUGCUCCAGGCAGACAGUGUCCUGGUGUCCUUGCAGCCUUGAACUGGAGAACGUGCUGUGUGGUGUUGGGCCUUACAGUGGGCAUCUGCCAGGACUGGUGCCCUACACGCAUCCCCAGGCUGAGUGCUGCUCCUUCUGUGGGGAGAAGUAAGAGUGUGAGGGCUUUACAGCAGACUGACAGCAAACCGGCCCGAUGAGCCGAGUGAAAUGAAGACGGAGCCUGUGAAAAGGACAAGGGCCCCAAAGAUGGAGCAUGAGCGAGGGAGUUGCGUACAAGCCUCCAGGGCAGAGGGCCUGUCUGAGGCGCUUCAGGCCACAUAAGAAGAAGGAGGAGCAGGCCGGCCCAGGCAGCGGGGAUUGUGGAGGGGACAGGGACACCUAGGAAUGAGUGUGGAAAGAGCAAAUCCAGCAGCACAUUCAUCCUGGUGGGGAAGGAAGCCACGCUCCCACACGUCAAAACUAACAAAAAACCAGGAGGAAGAAGAGGGUGCCGAUAAAGAGAAAAGCGUAAUUAGUUAAAUAAGUCAGAAAGCAUAACAUUAAUAAAACUGAAAACCAGUUGUUGAAAAAGAUCAAUGAGACAAACUUCUGAGCAGACUCCUUAAGGAAAAGAUAGACGCCAAAACCCACUCAACGCCGAGGACAGGACCACAGAUGUGCCCGGAAGUGGCAGGAGCACAGGGACACCAUGUGCCUAAGUAAGGAAACUCCCCAGGACAUGGUGACUUCCUAGCAAGGCAGCCUGUGGAGCUAGACGGCAGAACAGACUGGAGCUGUCACAGUGACACUGACACCAGACCCCGUGUGGGAGUUCCAGCCUGGUCCUGAUACGACCCAGCCCCGCCCCGCCUGGCAGCGACCUCCAGAGACCCGGGGCCAGGACCACUCGGCGGCUGCUCAAAUCUGACCCCACAGGCGAGACGGGGUGUCGUCUGAGCCUGAGUCUGGGGCAGUCUGUGUGGCAGCAACAGAUGACUGUGGAGAGAGUGACCCUGAGGCCAGAGCUGGAGCCACCGGACACCAUGGCCUGGAGUGGCCUCCUGGCGCCCUUGUCACAGAGGCUGAGCAGGUGACUCCAUCCAUCUCCUGAAUCUGAGACUCCAUGUAGUUUAACUUUUGAUAAUAACACGCCUGAGUACAAAGCAGAGUAUGUUUGCUGUAUAAUGUUGAGAAAAUACAAAAAUGAAACAGAAACUCAGAACUGGCAGUCUGCACUGGGGAGUCGGUGGGAGGCGCUCGGUUCUGACCCCCCAGCCGCCCGGCCGCCGUCAGGUAGACACAGUGAUGCCAACGCGGAGGACAGUCAGUGCUUUUGUAAAACAAGGUUUAUAAAAGCCGUUCACCGGGAUUCUGCCCCAUUUUGUAGGACAUUAGUAGGAGGGAACGGGAAAGCCCCCGUGACCCGUAGGCCAUGACCUCUACCCUUCCCUGCCCUUCCAGCACCGGGAGGAAGGCCCCACCCAUUCAGGAGGGGUGGGGUCCUCGUAAACCCCAUGCAGGGCUGAAGCCCACGUAACUGUAACUGGAGUGACCGAUAGCAAUGGUGGCGCACGUCUCAGGGACACCACCAUCCCAGCCUGGAAACAGCCGUGCGAGCACUGGCCCAGGCCGCAGCAGACGAGUACACGCCAGCCGUCGCAGCUGGCAGGGACCCUGGAGAUGUCAGACACAAAAGAGUGCAUGUCACGUGAUGCCGUGUGUAGAAAGUGUCCAGAACAGGCAAAUUGGUAGCGACAGCACCGGGCUCAU
Rhinolophus ferrumequinum (greater horseshoe bat) is the source of this 2913-nucleotide long non-coding RNA. RefSeq lists it as uncharacterized. The transcript is spliced from 3 exons. The record is from RefSeq and is a predicted model, not a curated record. Lineage: Eukaryota; Metazoa; Chordata; Mammalia; Chiroptera; Rhinolophidae.